RNAcentral lists this small RNA (1483 nucleotides) under Histoplasma capsulatum. RNAcentral describes it as "hypothetical RNA". The record is from RNAcentral. RNAcentral also lists the same sequence under 1 other name. Lineage: Eukaryota; Fungi; Ascomycota; Eurotiomycetes; Onygenales; Ajellomycetaceae.
GGUGUGAUUGAGUCGCAGGGACUUUGUGCUCUUCAGGGAUGACUAAUUCUUCCGUGUUUGAUUGCUUAGUUUUUUAAGAACGACUCGACUAUUUUAUUUUUGUUUUAUUUUUUGUGGUUUGCUCUUAAAAAGAAAUCCGGGCAUAGUUUAUAAGAGGAGACAUUUUAGGGAAAGAUCCAUCAAAAAUGGCUGUUGAAUCGCCUUGGGACAGUAUUGAAUACAACUAGCUGAGCAUGGUGUAUGCAGGUGAAAAAUUGAACAGCCAGUAUCGUACGUGUAUUCGGAGGGCAACGAAGAGGGGAAGAUGAAAACGAAUGAAUAUUCCAUAAAGGAUAGCAGUUGGAUGCUGUUUAAACAUGGCCUGGAGAGUGAACACCUUGGGAAGAUAGAUGAUACAUUGCAGAGCAUCACUGAGAAAUAUAUAUGCAGUCAAGAAGGACAGAAGAACAGAUACAUUCACAGAGAAAAAUAGAGGUACUUUGUCCAUCACCAGGCAGUUAUGUCUUCCACCUCAGCUUCACCAAAAGUGCUAUUCUUCGUUAACUUGCCUACUUGUGCUUCAGCAACAUUGACAUCUUGACUGCCAGGUGCACUCAUGAUAUCGGGAAGCACUUCCCUGAAAAACUCAAGAAUAUGGCGAUUCACCUGUUCGAAUUGCAGGAGGAACGCAUCAUGGCCUUCAGGGCUAUCAAUGUUUCGUAAUCGCGAAUCUGGAAUACCAUCCGCUAGCUCCUGCUGCUCAGCGAACGUGAACAGCCCAUCGCUUUCAAUACCAAUGACCAGGGCUGGCUGUUGAAUUUGAGAGAGUGCAUCCUUGACCGGGGUCUUCGAGUUAGGAUCGACUCGAUGUCUGGAGAUGUCAUGAGUAUCGAGCUUCCGUGUGAUCGCGAUGUAGCAAUUGCUGUCGAAUCGCUUAACGAAUUUUUCGCCCUGGUAUCGCAGAUAUGACUGCGCGGAAAAGUAGGUAGUCGGCCGCUUGGCAGUUUGGAAGGAUGUGGAGGCAGGGGAGUCAGGUGAAGCGAAAAGUGUGGUGCCGUUGAACUGAGGAUCCGUGAACGUCUGGUGGGAUUCCAAGGAUGUAUUGUUCACCGAUGGGAGUGUCGCCGGUAAGUGUCUAGUACUCUUAUGGCCAUCAUUAUGCACAGCCAAAUGCUCGUUGGGGGGCGUGGGAAGGAGUGUCGUGCCGUUGAUAUUUUGCUUUCUCGAGGGGUCGGGGACAUUUCUGCCAAAGCGCGAUUCAAAUGAAUCUCGACUUCGAUAAGUUAAGAGAGCAGACAUACGAGCCGCUCCCAGGCCACUCGCAGGGGGGUCAUCAAAGGAGUAAUAACCGUCCUCAUAUUUCGGGUCACUGUAAAUACUCUGGCGUUGCGCCUCGCCCCAGCUGAUACCCCAUGCUGAGUGGCGACUUGAAGUGGCGAUUGGCACGAUGCUUCGUACGUAGUCCUUGCCAAAAUACGCAUAUUCUAAAACGAGCAUACCACCC